Molecule: transfer RNA, 73 nt
Filed under: Pseudomonas fluorescens
Lineage: Bacteria; Pseudomonadati; Pseudomonadota; Gammaproteobacteria; Pseudomonadales; Pseudomonadaceae
Description: tRNA-Pro
Source: RNAcentral
UGCUGCCCGGUUUGGCCGGUUUGGCGCCCUUGGCUGGCGCAGGUGGGGCCGGUUCGGGUUCUGCGGCGGCAGC